This 253-nucleotide ribosomal RNA is filed under the name uncultured bacterium. RNAcentral's name for it is "partial 16S ribosomal RNA". It matches the Rfam family "Bacterial small subunit ribosomal RNA", at positions 524 to 776 of the family's 1533-position model. The record is from RNAcentral.
GACGAAGGGGGCAAGCGUUGUUCGGAAUUACUGGGCGUAAAGGGCUCGUAGGCGGCCAACUAAGUCCGACGUGAAAUCCCAAAGCUUAACUUUGGAACUGCGUCGGAUACUGGAUGGCUUGAAUUCGGGAGAGGGAUGCAGAAUUCCAGGUGUAGCGGUGAAAUGCGUAGAUAUCUGGAGGAAUACCGGUGGCGAAGGCGGCAUCCUGGACCGACAUUGACGCUGAGGAGCGAAAGCUAGGGGAGCAAACGGG